RNAcentral lists this unclassified non-coding RNA (216 nucleotides) under Hevea brasiliensis (rubber tree). The record is from RNAcentral. Lineage: Eukaryota; Viridiplantae; Streptophyta; Magnoliopsida; Malpighiales; Euphorbiaceae.
GCCCACUGCCCUGGAGUGGGCCUGGAAUAUCUCCGGAUAUGAGCUUCUUUCCAUUUUCCUCUUCUGUUCUUCUCUGACUGUCCUCCAGCAUCUUCACUGCCUCCUUCAAGUUUUUUCCCAUUUCAGCUAACGUGGGGUCUGCUAUCUUCUCCAGGGACGCGUCCAUGGCUGAGGCGGCCGGUGGUGGCCUGGCGGUCCCGGGCUCUACUUCCUCCU